AUGGCGGCCAUACUUGAAACUUUGCUUAAAUCAAGUGUCCGUAAGUUGCAAGAUGUCAUUAUCGAUAAGGCCAUACUAAUCCUAGGGGUGGAAGAAGAGCUCACCAAACUACUGCAACGAGUGGAACUAAUUCAGUGUUGUAUAUAUGAUGCCGAGAAAAGGAGGACAAAAGAGCAAGUGGUAAACAAUUGGCUUGGUCAACUGAGAGAUGUUAUAUACGAUGUUGAUGAAAUCAUGGAUGUGGCUAGAUCUAAGGGAAGCAAGCUGCUUCCUGACCACCCCUCACCAUCAUCAGGCAAAUCGGUUGCAUGUAAAGGCCUUUCAGUUUCCUCUUGUUUUUGCAACAUAGUGACACGCCAUGAUGUUGCUGUUCGAAUUAGAAGCCUCAACAAAAAGAUUGAGAACAUUGCAAAUGACAAGAUAUUUUCAACUUUCAAUAAUAGUGCACAACCCAUUGGAAAUGGUCAAACAUCCAAACUGAUAAGAAGUUCCAACCUUGUUGAGCCCAACCUUGUGGGCAGGGAUAUUAUACAUUCUAAUAGGAAGUUGGUGGAGUUAGUGCUUGCACACAAGGAAUACAAGUCUUACAAGCUCGGUAUUGUUGGAACGGGUGGAGUUGGAAAGACAACACUAGCUCAGAAAAUAUACAAUGACCAAAGAAUAAAAGGAAGCUUCAAGAUGCAUGCAUGGAUUUGUGUUUCACGAGACUACAAUGAAGUUACUCUACUCAAAGAGGUUCUCCGGAAUAUUGGUGUGUAUCAUGAGCAAGGUGAAACCAUAGCAGAAUUGCAGAGUAAACUUGCAGAAACAAUUGAAGGAAAGAGUUUUUUUUCUAGUUCUAGAUGA
This 846-nucleotide ribosomal RNA is filed under the name Triticum aestivum (bread wheat). RNAcentral's name for it is "partial small subunit ribosomal RNA". The record is from RNAcentral. Lineage: Eukaryota; Viridiplantae; Streptophyta; Magnoliopsida; Poales; Poaceae.